AUUGACCAACCAUAAAAUGUUAAAUAGCCAAGGGCAAGGUGGGCCACUAUAUUUAAACAUGUUUUCGGCUAACGAGAUUGUCGUUUCCGAUUAGAAGUCACUCACAAGUACGAAGGUUUCUUCAGCACUGAAAUAAUAGACAUGCACCUUUAGAAAAUGCCAAGCUACUUAACUGGGAAAUCAGGCUCCGACCGGACUCAUAGUUAAAGCUUUAGUAUUAUAUGAGACCCCGUGGUGUUAGAGAGGCAGAUAAGAAAAUAUCGACAAAGUAAGAGUGUCUAGAGUUUAAAAGUUCUAGAUCUAGUUCUAUGCACUGUACUGCCAAGCYACUAAACUGAGAAAUCAGGCUCCAAGGGGACUCAUAGCUAAAGCUUUAGUAUUCUACGAGACCCCGUGGUGUUAGAGAGGCAGAUAUGAAGAUAUCGACAAAGUGAGAGUGUCUAGAGUUUAGAAGUUCUAGAUCUAGUUCUACGCACUGUACUGCCAAGCUACUAAACUGGGAAAUCCUGCUCUGAGAGGACUAAUUGGAUACCCCGAAUCGUCACCUAAAAGUAUAAAGACUCAUUGACAAAAACAGGGUGUCCAUCUAAGAAGUUGGACGAAAUUUGCGUGGUCGUCCGUCGUACGUCGUAAAUAAAUCUCUAUAUUAUUUAGGGAACUUAUAAGUCAACUCUAUCGGUACGUAUUCUCGGAGAACAAGGGACUCAAGAAGAAAAUAUGGAAAAAUAAAAAUGUUGAAAAAGA
This is a long non-coding RNA of Actinia tenebrosa (Australian red waratah sea anemone), 744 nucleotides long. The record is from RefSeq and is a predicted model, not a curated record. NCBI's taxonomy places the organism in Eukaryota, Metazoa, Cnidaria, Anthozoa, Actiniaria, Actiniidae.